This 222-nucleotide ribosomal RNA is filed under the name uncultured bacterium. RNAcentral describes it as "partial 16S ribosomal RNA". It matches the Rfam family "Bacterial small subunit ribosomal RNA", at positions 116 to 334 of the family's 1533-position model. The record is from RNAcentral.
CGUAGGUGACCUACCUCGAAGUGGGGAAUAACAACCCGAAAGGGUUGCUAAUACCGCAUACGUUCCGCGUUCUGCGCGGAAGAAAGUGGAGCGCAAGCGACACGCUUCGGGACGGACCUGCGGCCCAUCAGGUAGUUGGUGAGGUAAUGGGCUCACCAAGCCAAUGACGGGUAGCUGAUCUGAGAGGAUGACCAGCCACACUGGCACUGAUACACGGGCCAG